RNAcentral lists this long non-coding RNA (10996 nucleotides) under Phoenix dactylifera (date palm). RNAcentral's name for it is "long non-coding RNA (PDAC_LNC007773)". Lineage: Eukaryota; Viridiplantae; Streptophyta; Magnoliopsida; Arecales; Arecaceae. The record is from RNAcentral.
GUGUUUGUGGUGCUGGGGAUUAAGAUAUGUUGCAUUCCUACAGAAUUUCAGAAAUUUAUUGCAUCUGAGGCUUUGGAAACCAGAAAAAACUAUUUUUCUCGGAAUGAAACACGGUAAAAGAUUGAUUGAAGACUUACAAGACUCUGUUAUUUUCAACAGAAUUUAACCCUUUGACUAGUGCAGGUACAGAUGUGUUAUAGUGGUUCCUCUCACAUAAACAAAGGAAUCCAUUCAUUCCAUUACUGCAAAAAUGAAAAUAUAAUGAUUAGGGCACGGAGGCCAGGGGGAGGAUGGCAUGAGAAACAAAUGCAUAUAAAAUAGUUCACAGCAAAAAAAAAAAAAAUCGAGAACAUAAUUGCAUAAUACAUGGCACACCGACCUAACACGUGUGUCAAUUGGAAUGAAAUAUAAUGGAUCUUCUGUUGGUAAUGGACACAUUUGAUAUAGUAAAACAACUUGUGCAGCCAAUGGAUGACUAUCAUGGACAUAAAUUAUGUCAAACAUUAUUUUAUUUCGAGAUUUCUCUUGUUCCUGCAGAAACACUACCAAUGCAUAAGAAUUCGAGUAGAUGCGCAGGAAACCAAAAGUUCGUAUAACACAAAUUCUAAACUUAAAAAAAAUCAAUUAAUUAAAAGAAUCCACAUUCCCCACACCGUUAAAGUGUAUUCAAGCUUUUUUGUCUCAGCAAGCAACCGUCUCUCAUCAAUGAAUGGCAGUUUUGCAACUCCCUGGUUCCAUGAGAAUAACAAAUAUAAUCGUCUCUCAAGUCAGAAUAUCAAAGGCAAAAAUCUAAACCAACUGAAUACAUCCGCAUGAUUUACCUGCCAUGCGAAGCGUUUACCAUUCAUGUCUAUCUCAAAAUCUGAAGAUGAAAAAGAAAAAUUUUUAGACCCCAAUAAAAUACAAUCUGUAAUUAAAAUAGCAUCAAGAUGGAUAACACAUUGAAUAUAGAUUUCAAAUUCACAACCGUCAAAUCAUAUAAUGAAGACAGUCUGUGCCAAAAAGCAAAGACACCAAUUCAUAAAACCUACAGAAACUAUUUGAAACAAUUUUACCUUUGGGAUAAAAGGUGCUUAAGGGUGAUGCUGGAUCAGUCAUCAAUGCCUUGUAAUGCUCAGGCAAGGCACUGGAGCUACAGGAAGAGAAAACCUCAUGAUUAAAACCACCCUGAUGAGCUUCCAUGUCUCAAGAUAACAUCCUUAACAAGAGACAAAAACAUGUAGCAACUCAGUUUCUAACCUGGCAGCUGGAAGUGUUCCCAUUAGUUGAUCAAAUGGCUUAAAAGGUUGACCCAGAAAAAACGUAAUCUCCAAAUCAGCCAAUCCUUUGAGAUCGGAUGCAAAAGGGGCAUAAUGAUAUGGGUAGAACCUGAGUGGGAGAAGAAAAAUUUGCAACCGCUUAUGGAUUUUAAAUCUCAAAGUGCAUUAGCACAAUUUGUUCAAUAUUACUGGAAGAGGAGGGAACAGCUUAGUUAAGGUACAGAAUUUUAUGUGAAGUUUCAGGACUUGCUUAAGCUAGACAAAUAAAAAUGGAAAUCUUAACCAACAAGUCACAUCCCAUCUAUAUGGGAUCAAAGCCAAAAUUGAGGUAUAAAUAUGACUGUAGAGUAGCAGCUCUCAUCCUUUUGUCAAGCAAUGAAAGGGUACCGAAUCCUUAUCCUUCUUUGGAUAAAAGAGGUGUUUCUGCAACUGAUAUGAUAUAUGAAUUGGACCAAAUAAGGAUAAACCAUUUUGACAUGGUAUGCGCUUGUCCAAUGAAGAUCUGAGAACACUCAGCGUGGAGAGCUGUUGAAGUUAUGCAAAAGGAACAAAGUUAAGAUGCCUAACUUUGAAUCACCGUUCACCAAAGCUUUGAGAAAGCACCCGCUCUCUCUUCUCCUUCACUCGCUCCUUGCUCAUGCUCACUCUCUCCCCUCUUCAACACUGACCAAUGCCAAGGCAAGUCUCAUCUCUCUCUCACUCCCUCUUCCUCCCUCUCCUUCUCCUCCUUCCCCCUCUCCAUGAGCCCCCCUCCCUCUCCCUCCUUUCCUCCCUCUCUCCUCCUCCCCCUCCUCCCUCUUCCACCUUUCUCUGGGCGCUUCUCCCUCCGUUCCUCUCUCCCCCUCCCUUUCCCUCCCACACUCCCUCUCUUCCUCCCUCUCCUCCAUCUUCCCCCUCUCUGUAAGACCCAUCCCUCUCCCUCCCUCCCUCCCUCUAUUUUUUCCCUCUCCUCCCUCUCCCCCUCUUCCUCUCCCUUCCCCUGGUUCAAUAUACCCCAGCUCGAUAUGGUACGUACAAGUACUGUACUGAACUGAUCGACAGCCAGUACGAGCCCCAUUAUCGAUUCGGCAGACCUUGCUUUAAAUAUAUGAAGGUAGUGAGGAAGAAUUCUGGAAAAUGUUUCAAUAAAAUAGUAAGUAGCCCUUGCUUGGAACAAUAGAAGAAUAAGCUAAAUAGUUGGAAUAUGGCUUGAUAGCUUUCAUCAUGGUUAUAAGUAAAUGUUGGGGAAAAAUUGCAUAACUAGUUAUUUAGGAUUUGGACAAACUUUCAGUAAAUAAAAUGCAGCCCACAAUAGAACAAGGACUUAUAAUUGACUCAAAUACUUAGAAUAAGGCUUGACGGUUAUCUGUCCAGUUACAUAUAAGUAAAUGUAUGAAAAAUAAGUAUAACUUUUUAGUAUCAAAAUAACUUACCACUGCCAAGAGCAGACACCUUGGUAGUAAUAUCUCAUAAUCCAGCAAAGGCCUUCUACAUAUUUUUGGACCUGUAAAGCAAGACUAUUAAUGUACCAAAUAAGAAACAAGUUUGUCAACCUAGUCAACAAAUCUACCACUCCUAGCUUCACAAGCAUAGGCAACAUUUUAAAAGGUAGAUGGGGCUUGCCAUGUGCUCUAGGGAGACAUUUGUGGGUGCAAAUGUUUGUACUAUUUUUCAAAAUAUAUAAAAUUAAUUAAGAUACAUAGAUAUUCAAUAACAAUAAGAACAGCAACUGCAGCAAUGAUGACAGCCAAUAAUUAGUAGUUACUAAUUACUGAAUACCUAAUAAAAAUACAACCUCACCAUCUGCCUGAACCUACCACCCGGCCUGCAUAGGCCUCCAUAAGAGUGCACUAACAUAAGCAGCCGCACAAUGCUAAGGGAGACACUAUUAGGUCCAUAUGCCACAAACCGCAUACAAUAACCGUAAAUAAGGAAAGCAGCAUGGUCAAGGGACCACAUCCACAUUUGUGACUGCAUAUACUGACUUUUAGAGCACCAAGCACAGGAAAAUAUCUAUUCCUCGACACAACUUUUGGCGAUGAUUUCAUAGCCUGAACUACUAUUUGAAGAAAAGGACAAAUACAAUAUCCAACAUCUUGUUACGAUAACUUAAAAAAUUGUCAUUCCACUAUUGCAUCAAAUGUUGCUCUACAAAUGAUAAUGUUUCUCUACAGAAAACAAUGUGUCAUACAUAAUUGUCAAUGCACAAGUCAAAUCCUUUUGGGUUUAUACAUGUGGAUUCAUGAAAACAUUAAAUUACAUCAACUUCCCAUUAUUUGCUAUUUGAAUGCAGGUCAAAGUCUAGCAUAUAAAAUUUUGAAUUUUGGUAAAUCAAAGUGCCUAUAUUCCAUGUUGAUGUUGAGGUAUGUAAAAUCCAUACAAUUUUAAGACCAGAAAAAACCUUGGGCAAUUUUAGAUUCAUGAAAUAAAAUCCAAGUUUUAUCAGAAGUAUCAAUGUAACAAGGAAAAGAUGUGUGCAUAUUAGCUUAAGAACAACAAAGUGUUUCAAGAAAUUCAGUAAAAAAAUUCAAGAUUAGUGAUAGCAAAUGACUCACAACAUCUUUCCUGACAUCAUCAAUGGACUUUGGUUCUUCUAUAUUGAAUUUCUCAGCAUAGUACCUUUCCUUGUACCCAGGUUCCCCUAACUUUACCUGAAAAAAGGAUCAUCACAAUCAAAAUCCACAAAAAGACUGGUUAAUGGGGGGACAACGUUCCAACUGCAAGUUCAAAUAUGUGUUUACUCAUGAACACAUAUGCAGAAAAUCAACGUCCUUUUAGCAAUCAAACACCAUGUACUUUGACUGAAUGGUUUAUCAAAUGCUUUGUAUAAAGUUCGAAAAAUAUAGAUCAGCAAGUAAAUCAAGUUUAUGAAGGCACAAGAAUGAUUGUAAUGAUGCCUCCAUGAGUAUAGCAUUAAUUUUGUCAAUCGAAACUGCUCAACUUGUAAAAACACAUCUUGCCUUACAAAUCAACUUGAGACAUAAACUUAUGAUUGGGACAAAUGGGUACUCAAUGAUUUGGUUGACAAACCAUGUGGCAAAAGAUGCUAAAUUUCCUAUAAGAUUUCCCUUGCCAAAAAUUUGUAUUUGGCAUGUAGUACAAAAAUAUAUUUAGAGGUUUUAGACUGACUGUCAGAGUGGAGAAAAAAAAUUUCAAAUAAUUUUGGACACGGAAGUGCCUAAGAAGCAUCUGAAUGCAUGAAUGUUGCAGCCACUAAAGAUCAGUUGAGAAUACUAAUGAAUAGUAGCUUUGCUUUCAGUUUAAAUCUGAUAUUUGGUCUGAAUUAUGUGCAGUCUGACGUUUUCUCGCAGCUGAUAAGAAAAAUAAAAAUAAAAAGAAAAUAGCUCCAAAUCUGCUUCCAGAUUUGACUUCGAGAAGAAAUCUUGUAGCAGAAAUUACAUGCAGCAUAAAAUCUACGAUCCAAACAAGAUUAAAAUUAUUCAGCAGAGUACUGCACUAUGCAGCAGUCAAGGGACUGCAGAGCGCAUGCGUGGUAUCCGGGCUGCAUAUGGGGAGCAUAUGUGAUAAGUAUUUUUUUAAGAAUAUAAAAUAAAUAAUGUAUAUUAAGUACAAUAAAAGCAACAAUAAUGAUAUAUUCUACGGAUAAGGGAUAUCAAUAUUAAUAACAAUGGCAACUAAUAAUUAGUGUUUAUUACUUAGUACUUAAUACUACUAAUAAUAAUAGUUGUAACCAAGGUCCGCCGUACCGGUACCGGUCGGCGUACCGGUGGCGGCCCGAACCGGUCCCGUACUGGUCCGAACCAGUUCUGUACCGGUUCUCCAACAAUAAACUACCGGUACCGGAUUCCACGCUGAUCCGGUACCGGUCCCAGGCCCGACCGGUACCGCAGACCAUGGUUGUAACAUAAGUGAAACUCAUAUCCGACCUAACCUUCAGUAUGAACAUGCUCUAUCCACAUUGGCCCACCUAAGAGUGGGAACAUAUUUUGCACCAUAAUACUAAAUGGGUCACAUAUGCAGCUGCGCAAUGCUAAUUUAGCCACACAAAUGGCCACAUAAUGCUAAGUCAACUGUCUUUUCAGUCCAUAUAUGGUAUAACCACGUACAUUAACUAUAUAUCGGCAAUGCACUCCAGUCAAGGGGCCACAUGCAUGUAUACGGUCACAUAUGCAGCCUCAUGCACCACAGUUUAGAACACUGACAUUCAGCAGAAAUUCAAAAACAAUGUACUUGAACUAGAAUUUACUUGGCCAAAAAAUUAUAAAGUGGAUUGAAGGUCUGAUUAGUUUUUACCCAGGUGUCAUUUAGCAAAUGUCUAGCUCUGAUUAGUUUUAGCAUUAAAGGAUUUAUAAAGUAUUUAAAAGAUGUAUAGAAUAUCACUAUAAUGCAAGCCAGUUGUUGACAUUGAUUAUAAGUUGAUGUAAUGAGAAUCUUGUGAUAUCGGCCAUAAGUUUGAGCACCAGUGGUAAACUUGGAUCUAUUUAAUUUAUUUCAUAGACUCUUAUGUAUAUAUACAUAUACAUAGGCAUAUUCAUAAAAGUACAUACAUAUGCACAUGCACAAGUAGAUGUAUGCAUGUAUGAUCUCUGUUCUUCUCAUUGAACAUUAUUUGCAUUACUACUAUCAUAUAUUCACAAAUGAAUCCCAUCAAUUUCUCCCUCGGUUGUAGAAAGUAAUAGUUCACUCCAUGCCCGUGCAAAAAUUCAUGCACAUACUUACAACCAAAAUGAGAAAAACACAAACCUUGUCUGGGGACAUAGACUGAAGAUUUUCAGGGAUUUCUCUCUGCGUUUUAAGCUUUAGCUCUUCAUUAUUUUCAAUUGCCUGAGAUGCAUUAUUAAAACAUGUGUCAACAACUGCAAUAACAAAACCCAGACAGCAAGAUGAGUUUUACACUAGAACAUGAAAAGCCCAGUAGCAACAAAGCUUCUCGGGGAUGCAUAACUAGUGAGAAAUGGUAACCUGUUAAAAGCAUGUUCAGGAAGACAGAUACUUUUGCAUGCAACAAUAACCAAAGGGAAAUCCUUAUUGCAAAUCAAUAAGCAGCAAAAGAAAAUCAGUUGUACUCAGAGAUUAAUCAAAUAUAAUUAAAGAUCUACAGAUAAAGCAAGUAAUUCAAUUUAAGUUCAAAUUUCUGCUAGCAUCCAUUGCAUUUGAUUUACCAUAAUUGUUAUUAUUCUGAAAGUUAAAAAUAAGUAAACAUGAGCAUCGUUAAAAACUGGUACAAUGCAUGUACUCCUGGUAUAUGUGUUGGUUUGACAUAAUGAGACUCAGUAUCCCCCCCCGGCCGACCAAGUCUCGAUUUGGUACCAAUACGGUACAAUACACCGAAUACAGGGCAGUAUGUACUAGUACAACAAACCAUGGUUCAUAUAUGUUUUAUGACACGUAGAUCACACCUCUAUAUACAUCUAGUGCAUGUAUCACGGUCCACAAUUUGGAUUCUCAAUUUCCAUCCAUAAGACAAUUCUCAAUUGCCAUCCAUAAGACACCUGAAACCAUUUGAUUUCAUAUUUCAGAGCAUUUUAAAAAAUUAUGGAUCAUGACAAAAUGAAGAUUCUCAAUUUUGAAUAGCCUGUCUUUUAAUUUGCAUUGACAUAAUUAACAUUCAACUUGCCACAAAUGGAUUCUAGCCCAUUCACUAUGUGUAUACUUGUGUGAGAAUGAGGAUAAAAGAAUAGCUCUUUGCUCAAUUUAACUAUUCCCCAUAGGAAGGGCUCACUUCUUUCUGUGUCCUUUAAUUUACCUCGUCAGUUAAUACAUAGCCUAAAUGCCUAUGAGACUACCAAGACUUCCAUUGCCCUUCAUUAUCAGUGCCUCGAAUUCCAAAUUUUCAUCGAGAGUGUAUCAUCUGGCAGGCUGCCUAAAUAUUGCAAAAGUGUAAAGACUACAUUGGCUGCAAAGAGCUCGAAAUCAUGAACUGUUGCCGCUACAGGUUGUCCAAGAAGGCCCAAUAAAUUGAAGGUUCUAAACCCGAGGAUAAGUUUUCCUCCAAUGCAGCAAAUACACAAAAUUACAUGAGUCUCAUUGUUUACUUUAUUAUUGUUGUAGAUAUUUAGAGCUUCUAAACUGAAGGGUAUAUUUUCUCCCAGUGCAGCAAAUUGAUGGAACAAUGCAGAGUCUCACUGUUUACUUUCUUAUUACUAGUGCCUAGCACAUGCACCGCAUGUGCCUAUUCAAGAGAAAGAAAAAGGAGGAGGAAGGGGGGGAUGGGGGCAGAAGGGCCAGCCUUUUCUACAAAAAAGAGUGCAGUCGAAGCCUGGCAGGCCCCACACUAGAGGAAACUUGGGAAACCCCAAUUUCAAAUUGUGUACUUUAUAAAUAUUUUUGGCAAUUAGACAAGUGAGAAAUCAGAAUUAUUUUAUAUAGUUGGUUGCUUUAGAAAUUCAUAAACUGAGUUUUAAGUUUUCAAUUACUGGAAUAGUUUUGAAUAGGAAAGCGAAGUUUUAGGGAGCUUAGGAUCCAUCCUGUGAACAGGCUUGGUGUCAAAAAAAUCUUGGUCAUUUGGGUACUUAAGAGUCCGAGAUUUACAAUGAUAUAGUAACUCCCUUGUGACAGGUUCUAUGGAGUUCCAUAAGUUGCAAACUACUCACUGAACAAGUACUAACUAAACAACUACUUUUCUCCUUUCUAAGCACCUCUUUCCAUCUCUUCUUUCUGUCCUUCCUGCUACUGUCCUAAAGAUGAUUGAUCUUCAAUCUCUCCUUGUUUUUAAGCAGACAAACUCCCCAGUUUAUAUUCCUUUUCCAUUUUAUCUCAUUAAUAAUGAAAACAAAGGUGAUUGGAAGCAUCCAGCAUACAACCUUGAGCUGACCCUUAAGCAUCUAUGGCACAAAUUCCAGUACUCCCUAUAUUCUCAAUCACAUCACUCCCUUGCACUCCCAAUAUGUUCAUUCUCUGGAUGCAACAGCUCAAGAGUACUUUUCUUUCUUCACUAAGACUUCUGUACACACUCCUUCCAUCAUCCAACUGAGCCAAAAUAAAGGGGUAAGUGCAGGUCAAGGAAGGAGUGAAGGGAAAAGGAGAUAGAACAGGAAAAGGAUGCAAAGAUGCCAAAAAUUUAGAAUAGAAAGAAUGGAAAGGAACAAUAAGGAGUGGAAAGAAAGGAGAAGGUCAAUUGCAAGGGAGAAGUUGGAAAGACAGUAAGUGCUUUUAACUCAGUUUCUCUCACUAUAUUUGAUUUAGCAUCCGGUCUCUAUCAAACAUGUUGAUGUCUUUUGGGUAAGGCUCUCCAAAGAUACUGCUAAAUAAUGACUAACCUACCCCACCUCUUUUUUUUUCUAGCAUCUUUUGGUCCAAUCCUUUUUCGCUCCAUGUAACAAGAUCUAACAAAUUUUGCAUCAACAGGCUCCUCAAUAUUAAAAUAAUGCAGAUAAUUAUUCCUAUGUAUACAGGAAAAAAAAAGGCAAAGUCUUGUCAUAAACUCAAUAAUUGGAUUGAAAAGAGUUCAAUAUUUGAAUUAGCCUGACAUGAGAAAAACAUAUACUACGAAUCAAAGAACCAAGUAUAAAUCAACCAGGCCAAGAUCCAAUACCCAACAGCACAUGGAUAGCAUGGCAAUGAAAAGGCAUAUGUUAUGAAACAAAGAAGAAGAUAGCCAACAACAUAUGAAUAGCAAGUCACCUGCUGAAUACGAGCACGCUUUUGAAAAAUUUGUUCUUCAUAAACGGCAACUGACUGGAUGAAAUGCUCUACCCGAUCCAAUGAAACCUAUACACAUAAAAUCCUCAAGUUAGAGAAAGUUUGACCUUACAUUUUGAUUCACCAACUUAUUAAAUAUAUCCACAGAUCAACCAGAUAAUUACAAGGACACUUAAAAAAUCUCGAUAGAAUAGUAGUGUUUAAUCAUAUAAUGCUGUAAGAUGGUUAGGCCCAGUUAUACUAUGGGAGUAUCACAUUCAACACAGAAUCCAAUCAUCAUUUCUUUUAUUAUUUUUCCUGCUAGAGCACUAUCCUUGAGUCUUGUGAUAUAUUUAACACUAAACUCAAUUCCACCUUUUGUUUUAUUGAUGUUUAUUGCAGUGCUCUUGUGAAUAGAGUAGGGAGAAGAAGACAAAAAGAUUUAGGAAACACAGAACAGUAACCAAAAAGUAAUGGUCAAGGUUAACUACCUGUCUUGUAAGUUCAGUGUCCGAUAGGGUAAAACAUUUAAAUUUCAAUGUUUUGACUCAUGAAGAUUUUGUUUCAAGAUCAGCUCUCACUCAUGACAAUGUGAAAGAUUCCCUAAAUGAUAAGAAAAUAUUUCAUAUCUUUAGUGGAGAAACAAGCCUCUCCAUUACUUGUUUUCAAGUUCAUUGUGGUCAUGCUCUUAAUAAUGAAGCAUACACAUAGAUACAAGAUACACAUCCCAAAAUCAUAAGAUACAAAUGGCCAGGAUAAAAAUAAUAAAUUAAUAUUUGUCUUUAUAUACACAGGAAUAUAUCUAUGUUUUUACCACUAAAAAUUCUAUAGCUCUCUCUAUCUCUAUCUCUAUCUCUGUGUGUAUGGCACAUGAUAGGUGAAGGUAAAAUCAGGCUUUAUUUACCAUAAUGGAUUGUAUAUCUGGGUGUUGAAUCAACACAACCUGAAACCUGCCAGCUAAGAUAAUUGUUCGAGAGAUGUUCAAGAAAUAACUGAAAUGAAUGUUCACGAGAUGUAUCUAACAUGUACCAGAUUCUAAUUGAGGCAUUUCAGAAUCUGAUACAGAUCAAAUCUAGCAACGGCUACUAUAAAAAGUAUCCAUACUUCACUGGUUCUCAUGUCCAUUAAUAUUAGUUUUACGAGUCUCCAAUAUUAUAAUAAAAAGGGAAAAAAUGUGCAAUAUCGGGAGCUUCUAGUACAUUAGAUCUGUUGGUCCUUGUGCUGGAUUCUGAGUAUAAGGGAGUUAACAGUACUUGUGAGUUUGAGCAAGGUUUGUUGUACUGAUACCAGGCACAUUUUGGUUGCCCAGUGGUAUAGUAUGGUACACCACCAUACCGGCACAUGGCACACUACUGGAGAUGAGACAGCAGCUAUGCUUUGUGUUGGUACAGUACCGUAUCAAACCUCUAUACGACCAAAAUGGUGCAGUAUUCCUGGUACCGAGCAGUAUGUGUCAGUAUAGUAAACCAUGCUUGGGAGACAUUUGCAAGCUCAUACAAUAUUCUCUAAAUCUAUUUGGAAUUAUAUAUCAGGUGUCAAAAGGAUCUGCAUUUUAUGGACUAAGUCAUUCAUUCUUUUUAAAAUGCAAUGGGUGGUUUAUUGGCAACACUACUUUUUUGUUUUUCCCCUUAGAAGUCCUAGUAAUUGUUUGCUCUAUUGAAGUUGUUGCAAACAUCUGUAUUCAAUUUUACUGUAAAUUCUAUUUUCGCAUCUAGCUCCAUAAUCCAUGUUGGAUAUGUAUCGGUCAGGUGUUAGACACUAACUAGCAAUUUUCGGAUAUGGGUAAAGAGUUGGACCCACAAAAAGUUCAACCCACUAUAAUAAUGUUAAAAUGGAGCCUUUGUUCUUUUCAGAGAUUGGCUAUGAUUGUGGGUAUUAAAAUUUACAAAAUGUCAUUUUUUUCUCAAAUCCUUAAGCUAAUUGGAAGUUUGGAUGAGAAACAUGCAUUGGAGGAAACCUUAACAAACAAUAUCCUUUAAUGUUUUAUUUUAUGCAAUACUUAAACACAUGCUUCAAUUAAGAUUAUUUUUCCUACAUAUCCCCAAUUUUCCUUUUCUUCCUUGCCUAGUUAGACACACAAACGCAUCUCCCAAUCCAAUUCUCAUGUCUGUGUCCAUCCAUCACUGCCUCUAUUACUGCAUACACCUUUAUUCAAGGUCCGCCGUACCGGUACCAGU